GUCUACGGCCACACCCCCCGGACGCCUACGAGCUCAUCUGAUCUCGGAAGCUAAGCAGGUCGGGCCUGGUUUAGAACUUGGAUGGGAGACCAAAUGGCGACAGCGCUGGGCUUUCUUCC
Molecule: ribosomal RNA, 119 nt
Organism: Pan troglodytes (chimpanzee)
Lineage: Eukaryota; Metazoa; Chordata; Mammalia; Primates; Hominidae
Source: Rfam